RNAcentral lists this ribosomal RNA (492 nucleotides) under uncultured bacterium. Its description in RNAcentral is "partial 16S ribosomal RNA". It matches the Rfam family "Bacterial small subunit ribosomal RNA", at positions 29 to 507 of the family's 1533-position model. The record is from RNAcentral.
AGUGAACGCUGGCGGUAGGCCUAACACAUGCAAGUCGAACGGCAGCACAGUAAGAGCUUGCUCUUACGGGUGGCGAGUGGCGGACGGGUGAGGAAUACAUCGGAAUCUACUUUUUCGUGGGGGAUAACGUAGGGAAACUUACGCUAAUACCGCAUACGACCUACGGGUGAAAGCAGGGGAUCUUCGGACCUUGCGCGAUUGAAUGAGCCGAUGUCGGAUUAGCUAGUUGGCGGGGUAAAGGCCCACCAAGGCGACGAUCCGUAGCUGGUCUGAGAGGAUGAUCAGCCACACUGGAACUGAGACACGGUCCAGACUCCUACGGGAGGCAGCAGUGGGGAAUAUUGGACAAAGGGCGCAAGCCUGAUCCAGCCAUACCGCGUGGGUGAAGAAGGCCUUCGGGUUGUAAAGCCCUUUUGUUGGGAAAGAAAAGCAGCAGGUUAACACCCCGCUGUUCUGACGGUACCCAAAGAAUAAGCACCGGCUAACUUCGUG